GAGGAAUAUUGGUCAAUGGGCGCAAGCCUGAACCAGCCAUCCCGCGUGCAGGAAGACGGCGCUAUGCGUUGUAAACUGCUUUUCCAGGGGGAGAAACUUGCGCACGUGUUGCGCAAUUGACGGUACCCUGGGAAUAAGCAUCGGCUAACUCCGUGCCAGCAGCCGCGGUAAUACGGAGGAUGCGAGCGUUAUCCGGAUUCAUUGGGUUUAAAGGGUGCGUAGGCGGACUAUUAAGUCAGUGGUGAAAUCCUGCAGCUUAACUGCAGAACUGCCAUUGAUACUGAUAGCCUUGAGUUUGGUUAAGGUAGGCGGAAUGUGUAAUGUAGCGGUGAAAUGCUUAGAUAUUACACAGAACACCAAUUGCGUAGGCAGCUUACUGAGCCGACACUGACGCUGAGGCACGAAAGCGUGGGGAUCGAAC
RNAcentral lists this ribosomal RNA (421 nucleotides) under uncultured bacterium. RNAcentral describes it as "bacterial SSU rRNA". It matches the Rfam family "Bacterial small subunit ribosomal RNA", at positions 356 to 773 of the family's 1533-position model. The record is from RNAcentral.